Molecule: ribosomal RNA, 480 nt
Filed under: uncultured bacterium
Lineage: Bacteria
Description: bacterial SSU rRNA
Rfam family: Bacterial small subunit ribosomal RNA
Source: RNAcentral
CACUGUCACUCCUACGGGGAGGCAGCAGUGGGGGAAUAUUGCACAAUGGGCGCAAGCCUGAUGCAGCCAUGCCGCGUGUGUGAAGAAGGCCUUCGGGUUGUAAAGCACUUUCAGUCGUGAGGAAGGUAGUGUAGUUAAUAGCUGCAUUAUUUGACGUUAGCGACAGAAGAAAGCACCGGCUAACUCCGUGCCAGCAGCGCGGUAAUACGGAGGGUGCGAGCGUUAAUCGGAAUUACUGGGCGUAAAGCGCAUGCAGGUGGUUUGUUAAGUCAGAUGUGAAAGCCCGGGGCGUCAACCUCGGAAUUGCAUUUGAAACUAGGCAGACUAGAGUACUGUAGAGGGGGGUAGGAAUUUCAGGUGUAGCGGUGAAAUAGCGUAGAGAUCUGAAGGAAUACCGGUGGCGAAGGCGGCCCCCUCGGACAGAUACUGACACUCAGAUGCGAAAGCGUGGGGAGCAAACAGGAUUAGAUACCCUGGUAG